Hibiscus syriacus is the source of this 171-nucleotide long non-coding RNA. RefSeq lists it as uncharacterized. The transcript has 3 exons. The record is from RefSeq and is a predicted model, not a curated record. NCBI's taxonomy places the organism in Eukaryota, Viridiplantae, Streptophyta, Magnoliopsida, Malvales, Malvaceae.
AUCGUUCGUGCUCUUACUUACGAUGUAGACGACUUCUACUCUCAUUGCGAUCCAGACAAUGAGAAUUUAUGUUUGUAUGGAUACCCAAAUGAGGGAUGGGAGGUAGCUUUACCGGUUGAGGAAGUUCCAUCAGAGCUUCCCAAGCCAGCUUUGGGUAUUAAUUCUGCAAGA